This 407-nucleotide ribosomal RNA is filed under the name uncultured prokaryote. RNAcentral's name for it is "bacterial SSU rRNA". It matches the Rfam family "Bacterial small subunit ribosomal RNA", at positions 355 to 774 of the family's 1533-position model. RNAcentral also lists the same sequence under 1 other name. The record is from RNAcentral.
UGGGGAAUAUUGCACAAUGGGCGCAAGCCUGAUGCAGCAACGCCGCGUGAGGGAUGACGGCCUUCGGGUUGUAAACCUCUUUUAGUAGGGAAGAAGCGAAAGUGACGGUACCUGCAGAAAAAGCACCGGCUAACUACGUGCCAGCAGCCGCGGUAAUACGUAGGGUGCAAGCGUUGUCCGGAAUUAUUGGGCGUAAAGAGCUCGUAGGCGGCUUGUCGCGUCUGCUGUGAAAUCCCGGGGCUCAACCCCGGGCCUGCAGUGGGUACGGGCAGGCUAGAGUGCGGUAGGGGAGAUUGGAAUUCCUGGUGUAGCGGUGGAAUGCGCAGAUAUCAGGAGGAACACCGAUGGCGAAGGCAGAUCUCUGGGCCGCUACUGACGCUGAGGAGCGAAAGCAUGGGGAGCGAACA